This 318-nucleotide ribosomal RNA is filed under the name Morganella morganii subsp. morganii. RNAcentral describes it as "partial 23S ribosomal RNA". It matches the Rfam family "Bacterial large subunit ribosomal RNA", at positions 310 to 631 of the family's 2925-position model. Lineage: Bacteria; Pseudomonadati; Pseudomonadota; Gammaproteobacteria; Enterobacterales; Morganellaceae. The record is from RNAcentral.
ACCUUAAUCAGCAUCAGUGUUAAGAGAACAGUCUGGAAAGGCUGGCCACAGCAGGUGAUAGCCCUGUAUCUGAAAGCACUGGUGUUGUGAGUCCGAUGAGUAAGGCGGGACACGUGUUAUCCUGUCUGAAUACGGGGGGACCAUCCUCCAAGGCUAAAUACUCCUGACUGACCGAUAGUGAACCAGUACCGUGAGGGAAAGGCGAAAAGAACCCCGGCGAGGGGAGUGAAAAAGAACCUGAAACCGUGUACGUACAAGCAGUGGGAGCACCUUUAUGGUGUGACUGCGUACCUUUUGUAUAAUGGGUCAGCGACUUAU